Molecule: transfer RNA, 72 nt
Filed under: Phrynosoma platyrhinos (Desert horned lizard)
Lineage: Eukaryota; Metazoa; Chordata; Lepidosauria; Squamata; Phrynosomatidae
Description: tRNA-OTHER
Source: RNAcentral
GCCAGCAUGGCAUAGUGCUUUGAGUGUUGGACUAUGAUUCUGGAGGCCAGGGUUCGAUUCCCAGCUCAGCCA